Molecule: ribosomal RNA, 492 nt
Filed under: uncultured bacterium
Lineage: Bacteria
Description: partial 16S ribosomal RNA
Rfam family: Bacterial small subunit ribosomal RNA
Source: RNAcentral
AGUGAACGCUGGCGGUAGGCCUAACACAUGCAAGUCGAACGGCAGCACAGUAAUAGCUUGCUACUACGGGUGGCGAGUGGCGGACGGGUGGGGAAUACAUCGGAAUCUACUUUUUCGUGGGGGAGAACGUAGGGAAACAUACGCUAAUACCGCAUACGUCCUACGGGUUAAAGCAAGAGAUCUUCGGACCUUGCGUGAUCGAGUGACCUGAUGUCGGAUUAGCUAGUUGGCGGGGUAACGGCCCACCAAGGCGACGAUCCGCAGCUGGUGUGAGAGGGUGAACAGCCACACUGGAACUGAGACACGGUACAGACUCCUACGGGAGGCAGCAGUGGGGAAUAUUGGACGAUGGGCGCAAGCCUGAUCCAGCCAUGCCGCGUGGGUGAAGAAGGCCUUCGGGUUGUAAAGCCCUUUUGUUGGGAAAGAAAAGCAGCAGGUUGAUACACCGCUGUUCUGACGGUACCCAAAGAAUAAGCACCGGCUAACUUCGUG